Molecule: long non-coding RNA, 924 nt
Filed under: Brassica rapa (field mustard)
Lineage: Eukaryota; Viridiplantae; Streptophyta; Magnoliopsida; Brassicales; Brassicaceae
Description: long non-coding RNA (BRAP_LNC001169)
Source: RNAcentral
UUUAGUGUUUUUGAUUUAUAGUUUAGGAUUUAUCCAAGGGUUUAGGUUUAAGAUUUAGGGUUUAUGAUUUAGGGUUUAGUAUUUUGUUGACGUCUUUAAACUUUUUUUUUGUAAUUAUUACUAUUUUUAUUUAUUUAUUUUUACUUUUUUAUUUAUUUUAAAAAUAUAAUAUAAUUUGAUAAUAUUUUGUUUCUUUUUUAAAAAGAUAUUGAAUAUGAAAUAACACAAUUUUAUUGGUUGGUGGGGUGAACCCAAGAAUAAAUCAUAAAAUAUAUGGUCAAUUUCCUGGCUUUAAGUACCAGGCCUUUUUUUGACAAAAAAAAAAAAAAGAACCAGGCCUUUCAACGUUCUCUGUUAGUGGGAUCUACAUCGACUUUGAAAUAUUGACCAUUUGUUUUUUUAAUUUUUUCGAUUAAAAGAAGAGUAAUCUCCGACACUAACAGUAUUGUGUAGUUUCUCGUUAUGAAUUAGCUUUAUCAAAAACCUUAGCUAUAGGAAUUGCAGGUUGAAAAUCCAAUUAUGUAACUCGAUCAUGUAGAUUGGUUAUUCUGAGCAAGCAACAAUUCAUAUAUUAGACGUUUACAUGGUUGCUAGCAAGGUAGUUCUUCAGUGAAGUAAAUUAUUGCAAAGCCACUAACGUUUUCUGGUUUGUUGUCAGACGCUCCUUAUAACAAAAAGGUAAAACCUUUUUUCUCUCUCUCUUCUCCUCAGACGCUCCUUCCUCUCUCUUCCUCUCCUUCAAAGCAGCUCAGAUCUACGCUCCGGUGACCGGCGGUGGCGCGCGUGGUUGCCGGGAGCGUCCUCCUCUCCUCUUUCUCUUUGUUCUAUUAGAUGAUAUGAAGGUGAUGAAUCGAUGAGAUGAUGAAGAGAAGAAGACGAUGAAGAAGUUUGUUAGAAAAUAUAAAACUGUAUAUUAUUCAGCUC